RNAcentral lists this ribosomal RNA (468 nucleotides) under uncultured bacterium. RNAcentral's name for it is "partial 16S ribosomal RNA". It matches the Rfam family "Bacterial small subunit ribosomal RNA", at positions 28 to 507 of the family's 1533-position model. The record is from RNAcentral.
GACGAACGCUGGCGGCGUGCUUAACACAUGCAAGUCGAACGGAAAGGCCCUGCUCUUGUGGGGUGCUCGAGUGGCGAACGGGUGAGUAACACGCGAGUAACCUGCCCUUGACUUUGGGAUAACUUCAGGAAACUGGGGCUAAUAUCGGAUAGGAGCUCCUGCUGCAUGGUGGGGGUUGGAAAGUUUCGGCGGUUGGGGAUGGACUCGCGGCUUAUCAGCUUGUUGGUGGGGUAGUGGCUUACCAAGGCUUUGACGGGUAGCCGGCCUGAGAGGGUGACCGGCCACAUUGGGACUGAGAUACGGCCCAGAAUCCUACGGGAGGCAGCAGUGGGGAAUAUUGCACAAUGGGCGGAAGCCUGAUGCAGCAACGCCGCGUGCGGGAUGACGGCCUUCGGGUUGUAAACCGCUUUCGCCUGUGACGAAGCGUGAGUGACGGUAAUGGGUAAAGAAGCACCGGCUAACUACGUG